This 469-nucleotide ribosomal RNA is filed under the name uncultured bacterium. Its description in RNAcentral is "partial 16S ribosomal RNA". It matches the Rfam family "Bacterial small subunit ribosomal RNA", at positions 28 to 507 of the family's 1533-position model. The record is from RNAcentral.
GACGAACGCUGGCGGCGUGCUUAACACAUGCAAGUCGAACGGAAAGGCCCUGCUUGCAGGGUGCUCGAGUGGCGAACGGGUGAGUAACACGUGGGUGAUCUGCCCCUUAUUUUGGGAUAAGCCUGGGAAACUGGGUCUAAUACUGGAUAGGACCAUGCUGUAGGUGGUGUGGUGGAAAGAUUAGUUUCGGUAAGGGAUGAGCUCGCGGCCUAUCAGCUUGUUGGUGGGGUAAUGGCCUACCAAGGCGUCGACGGGUAGCCGGCCUGAGAGGGUGGACGGCCACAUUGGGACUGAGAUACGGCCCAGACUCAUACGGGAGGCAGCAGUGGGGAAUAUUGCACAAUGGGCGCAAGCCUGAUGCAGCGACGCCGCGUGGGGGAUGACGGCCUUCGGGUUGUAAACUCCUUUCAGCCAUGACGAAGCCCUUGUGGUGACGGUAGUGGUAGAAGAAGCACCGGCUAACUACGUG